GGGGUGGGAACCAUGCCAGAAGAAAGCGUCGGAAUUGUUCCGGCAGCCAUUGCUCUCCCCCCAUUCCCCACCCCUUCAGCUAGCUCUGGGUAGUCCUGGUGAUGUGAAUACCUGAGCUGUAGCUAAUAUUGCUCCAACCACUUCAUUUGCAGACCACUUUGGAUUCCCCGGCAUACUAGAGAAGAGAUAGAACUAAGAGACUAAUAACUGCUCACAUUUAUAUAAACAAUUUCCAAAGCCCUUUCAAUCCAUUAUCUCCCAGCUCCUCACUGCCAGCCGGGGAGCCUCCUGGGUGAUAAGUGAGAGAAGCCAGCUAUCGCUAUCUCCAAAGUUCCGCAGCAUGUCACUGUUGACUCAUACCUGGCCCAUUUCCUCUGGACUUCUGACCAACAACAUCUAGGAAAUCACCCUAUCCAGUCUAAGAAGCCAAGGCCUGAGAAACAUGGCUGUUCUGCCUAAUCAAAAGGAAGAGAAAACUUCCUCUAUGGCCAUUUCCACUUGAAGCAACAGGGAGCCACCAUGUACGGUGCAGCAGGUCACAACCCUACUUGUUGGAAAGUCUCUCCAUCCAUUAGAGGAGUCUUCAUACUUGGGCCUGAAGGUAAUUCAAAUGAUUAACCAAUAUAUUUUGGAUUAAUUGCUGCUCAUCUCCUUGAAGGCAAGGGUUAUUUCCCUUGUAUUAAGGGCUUAUCAAAUUUUUGCUGAAUUGAACUGAAAUUUGUGUUAAGUGAGAAAUCAGUGUCUGUUUCAGAGGAUGCAUACAUGUGGUAAAGUCCCGAGGGUGGGGGCUACUGAGUUAAGAGAGUGAGAACAUC
RNAcentral lists this long non-coding RNA (815 nucleotides) under Monodelphis domestica (gray short-tailed opossum). RNAcentral describes it as "lncRNA (ENSMODG00000046350.1)". The record is from RNAcentral. Lineage: Eukaryota; Metazoa; Chordata; Mammalia; Didelphimorphia; Didelphidae.